CCUGCACUUGGAUCACUACAACCCCAUGCAAUGUUUCAGGCUUGGGGCAGAAUGGCUUGAGAGCUGCUCAGCAGAAAUGGCCUUGGGGGUCCUGGCUGACCAUGAGCCAGCAGUGUGCCUAGGUGGCCAAGAAGGCCACCUGUAUCUUGGUCUGUAUCCAGAACAGGACUAGUGAAGCCAUUGUCCUGCUGCACUUGGCACUUGUGAGGCUGCAUCUUGAGUACUGUGUUCAGUUCUGGGCCUCUCACUACAAGAAGGACAUUGAGGUGCUAGAGCAAGUCCAGAGAAGGGCAACGAAGCUGGUGAAGGCUCUGGAGCACAAUUCUUAUGAGGAGCAACAGAGGGAGCUGGAGAAGAGGAUUUUCA
This is a long non-coding RNA of Neopelma chrysocephalum (saffron-crested tyrant-manakin), 366 nucleotides long. RefSeq lists it as uncharacterized. The record is from RefSeq and is a predicted model, not a curated record. The transcript has 3 exons. NCBI's taxonomy places the organism in Eukaryota, Metazoa, Chordata, Aves, Passeriformes, Pipridae.